Molecule: ribosomal RNA, 253 nt
Filed under: uncultured bacterium
Lineage: Bacteria
Description: partial 16S ribosomal RNA
Rfam family: Bacterial small subunit ribosomal RNA
Source: RNAcentral
UACGGAGGUUGCGAGCGUUGUUCGGAAUUACUGGGCGUAAAGGGAGCGCAGGCGGCCGAGUUAGUCUAAAGUGAAAUCCCGGGGCUCAACCUCGGAAUUGCUUUGGAUACUGCUUGGCUUGAGUACGUGAGAGGUAGGCGGAAUUCCAGGUGUAGCGGUGAAAUGCGUAGAUAUCUGGAGGAACAUCGGUGGCGAAAGCGGCCUACUGGCACGAAACUGACGCUGAGGCUCGAAAGCGUGGGGAGCGAACGGG